Molecule: non-coding RNA, 30 nt
Filed under: Rattus norvegicus (Norway rat)
Lineage: Eukaryota; Metazoa; Chordata; Mammalia; Rodentia; Muridae
Source: RNAcentral
UCCUAUGGGUUCUUGCCUUGUGCCAGGCUC